RNAcentral lists this ribosomal RNA (465 nucleotides) under uncultured bacterium. RNAcentral describes it as "partial 16S ribosomal RNA". It matches the Rfam family "Bacterial small subunit ribosomal RNA", at positions 28 to 507 of the family's 1533-position model. The record is from RNAcentral.
GACGAACGCUGGCGGCGUGCUUAACACAUGCAAGUCGAACGGAAAGGCCCCUUUGGGGGUACUCGAGUGGCGAACGGGUGAGUAACACGUGAGUAACCUGCCCUUGACUUCGGGAUAACUUCAGGAAACUGGGGCUAAUACCGGAUAGGAAUCCUUGCUGCAUGGUGGGGGUUGGAAAGCUUCGGCGGUUUUGGAUGGACUCGCGGCUUAUCAGCUUGUUGGUGGGGUAGUGGCUUACCAAGGCUUUGACGGGUAGCCGGCCUGAGAGGGCGACCGGCCACAUUGGGACUGAGAUACGGCCCAGACUCCUACGGGAGGCAGCAGUGGGGAAUAUUGCACAAUGGGCGGAAGCCUGAUGCAGCAACGCCGCGUGCGGGAUGACGGCCUUCGGGUUGUAAACCGCUUUCAGCAGGGGCGAAGCUUGUGGUGACGGUACCUGCAGAAGAGGCACCGGCUAACUACGUG